RNAcentral lists this ribosomal RNA (247 nucleotides) under uncultured Bdellovibrio sp. RNAcentral's name for it is "partial 16S ribosomal RNA". It matches the Rfam family "Bacterial small subunit ribosomal RNA", at positions 210 to 456 of the family's 1533-position model. The record is from RNAcentral. Lineage: Bacteria; Pseudomonadati; Bdellovibrionota; Bdellovibrionia; Bdellovibrionales; Pseudobdellovibrionaceae.
GUUUUUCGCUUCGAGAUGAGCUCGCGUGAGAUUAGCUAGUUGGUGAGGUAAUGGCUCACCAAGGCAACGAUCUCUAACAGGUCUGAGAGGAUGAUCUGUCACACUGGAACUGAGACACGGUCCAGACUCCUACGGGAGGCAGCAGUAGGGAAUAUUGCACAAUGGAGGAAACUCUGAUGCAGCGACGCCGCGUGAGUGAUGAAGGACUUCGGUUCGUAAAGCUCUGUCGCAUGGGAAUAAUAAAGUG